ACACCUCAACUCUCAUGGCUUGCCGUGAUGAGCUUGGACUUUGGGGGUCUUGCUGGCCUGUGAGUCAGCUCCUCUCAAAUGAAUUAGCUUGCCAGUGUUUGGUGGCAUCACAGGUGUGAUAACUAUCUACGCUUGUGGUUCUUCCAUCAGGUAACCUUCAGCAGUGGAGGUUCACUGGAGCUCACAGAUGUCUCUCCUUUGUGAGGACAGAUUUUGACC
Molecule: unclassified non-coding RNA, 219 nt
Filed under: uncultured Tomentella
Lineage: Eukaryota; Fungi; Basidiomycota; Agaricomycetes; Thelephorales; Thelephoraceae
Description: sequence contains ITS2
Source: RNAcentral